Molecule: transfer RNA, 63 nt
Filed under: Qianguimon aflagellum
Lineage: Eukaryota; Metazoa; Arthropoda; Malacostraca; Decapoda; Potamidae
Description: tRNA-Tyr
Rfam family: tRNA
About the family: Transfer RNA (tRNA) molecules are approximately 80 nucleotides in length. Their secondary structure includes four short double-helical elements and three loops (D, anti-codon, and T loops).
Source: RNAcentral
GAUAAAGUGGCUGAGGAAAAGCGUUGAAUUGUAAAUUCAUAAACAAGUUAAACUUCUUUAUUA